GUUAUUUGCUGUUGUCUACUCUCUUCAACUUUCUCUCUUUUUCUAUCAGUUUUCAAAAGCAGAAAAACUUAUCCUCAAUAGUAUUGUCUUCUUCUGAUGGUCAUGCUUUCGGUUUAUUGUCUUUUUAGGCUGAAAAUAUGCCAAAAUCGUGAGUUGAAUGCUGACCUCCUGGACAGAAGCAUCCUAUUGAUACAGCAAUAUGUGUCAAGGAUCAACAGAAUCAGUGUAGCGGGGCGUGCAUGCAGUCAAGGGGGAUGUGUCCAUUUUGAACUCCAUGGCGUAAAUUCGUACAACUGCACGCACCGUUCAAUAACUAGAAGCCAUCAACAUGAUGUUAGCCAGAGAAACCAGGACUCAGAUUUCCCCACAAAAUAUUUUCCUAAGCUAUUACCUCAAGAA
This is a non-coding RNA of Coffea arabica (coffee), 399 nucleotides long. The record is from RefSeq and is a predicted model, not a curated record. Lineage: Eukaryota; Viridiplantae; Streptophyta; Magnoliopsida; Gentianales; Rubiaceae.